This 29915-nucleotide long non-coding RNA is filed under the name Citrus x clementina. RNAcentral's name for it is "Citrus clementina (C. clementina) long non-coding RNA (CCLE_LNC004606)". Lineage: Eukaryota; Viridiplantae; Streptophyta; Magnoliopsida; Sapindales; Rutaceae. The record is from RNAcentral.
CAGCAGAGCUUUUCAGAUCUUCAGUUCUCAUCAGACUGAAUUUGAGCAGGAACCAACUCUCAGAUAAGAUACCUGCAGAAAUUGGAAAGCUUUCACGGCUACAAUAUUUGGAUUUGUCAGAGAACAAUCUAGAUGGACCUAUACCAGAUAAACUUGGGGACUGUGAGACACUUAUAUUUCUGAAGCUGAGUAAAAACAGAUUAAAUGGGACUAUGCCAGAGCAGCUUGGGAAUCUAAUAGCACUGCAGUCUGUCUUAGACCUCAGUCAAAAUACUAUCACAGGAGAAAUAUCCCCCCAGCUUGGGAAACUGAUAAAACUGGAAGUACUGAACCUUUCACACAACCAGCUUUCAGGUCCAAUACCUUCCACCCUUGAAGAUCUUGUAAGCCUUCAGGAUGUUGAUGUAUCAUAUAACAAUCUUGAAGGUCCGCUCCCAAACACAAGGGCCUUUCUGCAAGCUUCUGUUGAAGAAGUGGCCGGUAAUCCUGGCCUAUGUGGUGAAAAGGCAAAAGGUUUGACCCCUUGCAGCAGAGACACUUCAUCUAAGAAGCAAAACAGAAAUAACAAAAGGAAAUUGGUGAUUGCCAUUGUCAUUCCAGUAGCUGCUUCAACAAUUCUGUUAAUUCUUUUUGGAAUGUUCCUUUUCCACCGUUAUUCAAGAGCUUGUGAAGAUAAAAAGGACAAAUAUUUAGGAAGAAAAAGCUCAUUUUCUGUAUGGAACUACACAAAGAGAAUAGAUUUUAAGGAUAUAGUCACUGCAACAGAUAACUUUGACUAUAAAUUUUGCAUUGGAAGGGGUGGACAGGGGAGCGUCUACAAAGCAAAGCUUCUGACAGGUGACAUCUUCGCCAUAAAGCGUCUUCAUACUCCUGACGAAAAUGAGCUAUCCGAGGAAUAUCAGAUGAAGAGUUUCGAAUCUGAAAUGCAUGCUCUAACAGAACUUCAGCAUCGGAAUAUUGUAAAAAUGUACGGAAUCAGUUACUUUGAUGGGGACCUUUUUUUUGUAUAUGAAUUCAUAGAGAGAGGCAGCUUGGCAAAGUCAUUGCUGGAUGACAAGGAAGCAGAGAUUUUGAGCUGGGAUAUAAGGUUAAAGAUCGUCAGAGGAGUUGCAAAUGCACUAUCCUACCUGCACCACGACUCUACACCCACUAUUGUGCACAGAGACAUAUCAAGGAAUAACAUUUUACUGGACAUGGAUUUUGAGCCUAAGAUUUCUGAUUUCGGAACAGCGAGGCUGCUAAAAGCAGGAGAGUAUAACACCACUGCUAUAGUUGGUUCAUAUGGUUAUAUUGCACCAGGUAAUUCCCAAACCACACCAUUAAACUAUGCACUAGUGAGCAUCGUUUUCCUACUAACAUGUGAUGUAAUAUGAACAGCACUUCCAACCUCACCAAUCCUGGUUCAUAGCUCAUCAACCAAAGUGGCAUUUUUUAGUCUUUCUUGUUAAAGUUUAGUCCUGAAAGAAAGCAUACGUGUUAAACCCCAAAAGAAAAAUAUAGCUAAUUAAACCCUAAAAGAAAAAUAUAGCUAAGUAUCCCAAAAAUAAUUUCAUGACAUGACCAGAUAAAUCAUUAGCAAAAAGAACAAAAAUCUAAUGCCUUGAUGCUUUGCUAAUUAACUUCUUCACAUAUUAUUUAUGUGUUGCAGAACUAGCUUCUUCAACGAAGGUGACAGAGAAAUGCGAUGUAUAUAGUUUUGGCGUUGUUGCAUUAGAAGUGCUAAUGGGGAAGCACCCCCAGGAACUCCUCCUAUCUCUGCAAUCUGGAGAGUAUAAUCUGCUGCUUGCCAAUAUUUUUGAUAAGAGGCUCACACCUCCAAGUGGUCACAUUAUGCAAGAUCUGGUUUUAGCAGCUACACUAGCCUUGAUAUGCAUAAGUGAAAAUCCCAUGUCAAGACCCACGAUGCGUCAAGUAUCCAGCGAACUGCUUACAGGAGCACGUCUUCCUCUCUCCAUACCUUUGCACUUGCUCACACUGCAGAACUUGAUGGAUAUGUUUUCUCAUAUUGGAUCCCAACAAGCAACAAGUCCCUAGCAAAGUUCCAGCAGGCAAAAUCUCUCCCUCUCUCUGCACCUUUCCACAAGCUCAUAUUGCGGAAGUUUCUGUCUAAAGUUUUCCAAAAUAUACUUGUCAAACAAGUUGUCUUAAAUGUACUUCUUAAUCUAGCUAAUCAUCUACUUUCAUCUAGUUAUCAGAUUCAACAUACUUUGAUUCUAUAUCCUUCUUCAUCUCCUAGGGAAUCACAAAUAUAUAAUUUCUUCCACAAGCAAAGCAAUGGGUAAAUGAUUAGAUAGAAAAUCACCUGAUUAUGCAACAGCAUCACAACAUUGAAACACACACUCUCGGUGCUUCAAAAACUGGAAAGAAGAAUAAGAAGCUCUCGUUCUGACUUGGGCCAGACAUAACAGGAUAUGAACCCUUCGAUAACCCAUAAACUUGCUGAGAACCUGAAAGAACGCACAUACGCAAAUUAAACUAACACAAAAUUACUAAAAGCAACAAUAAACUCACGUUUUUGAAUAAGAGUAGGGAAAGAUUUAGAUUGUAUUUCUAUUUUCCAUUAAAGAUAUUAUUUAGUUUUGAUUUUGUUUUGAAGGUAAGAAAGAAUUUAUAAACCUUUGAACUUCUGAUUUUAUUUUUGAUUUUAUGUGAUUGAUUGAAUGAUUUUACGGGUAUUAUAUUAAUAAAAUUGUGAAAGCAUGAUCAUGUAUUGAUUUAUGUUAUUAUUGAGUGGAAGUAGUGCUAUUAUGUUAUCACAAAAACCGUAAAUAGUGCAAAUUAAAUAUCAUAUGACUGAUGUUUCAAUUGAGUUUUAUAUAUAAACUUUAUAGAUUAUUAAAUUAGAUAUCUUUAUCUUUCUAUCUAUAUGUUUAUUAUUCAAAAACUCGUUGUAUAUUAAUUGUUUUGAUUUUUCGAAAUUGGAACACUAGUGUUGGAAAAUUUUAAUUUUCAGCAACAAUUCUUAUUUUUAUAAUUUAUUUCAUAAUCCAAUGGGUUCUGAAAAUUCUGAGAAUUUUUAUUACUGUACACAUAGAUGUCUAGUUUCAUUUUACCAAAGCAAACACGUCCACUUCUGACUUCUCAAACAUUGUGAAGUGGAAGACACUGAUGUUAUCUUACUUUUGGGGUGCUGUCAUGUCUUUUACAUGAUUCUCUUUAUUCAGCCUUAUGCUUUUUUUUCUUAGAUGUUUCUCCUAAAUGUUUUCAAGUUUUUAAUUGAAGAGAUUGAUUAGUAUAUAUAGGUUAUAUAAAUCCUUGCGUUCUUAUGACUGAGUGAAAAAUAUGCCAUUGGCAGUGAAAGAUCUACUCAAUAUUAUGUACACCUGAAAGAUAUAAGGGAAAUUUACAGUAAUAACUAAAAAAAUUUUCCUUUUUUUCAUCUUAACCCUCUAAAAAUAUUUCUAUCAACAUUAGCCAUAAAACAAUAUUUGAGACCAAAAUACCCCUCCCUCAUCUCUCCCCCAACUCUCCCAAACCGAUCCAACUCCCAUCAUCGGCGGCGACAUCAACCCUCGUCGGCGGCGGCUCCAUCUCUCACCGGCAUCCGAUCUACGAUCUACAACCUUCAACAAAAUCUAGGUUAGUCGUUUUUCUUAUUUUCAUUAAUUUAAAAUGAGAUUUUAGAAUAAUAAUAGUUAUAGCUUGAGAUUAAUAGUGGUGGUGAUGAUGUUUGUGGUGGUUGGUGGUGUUUGGGAGUAUUGUUUUCGAUUUUGGAGUGAUUGUGCUUAAUUUUGCGGGUGGGGAGGGAAGGGGGCAGGGCGCGCGCGCACCCAUGCGCGGCCUGCUGUCGCACCAAAUCUGGUGCGACAGGCGCGCGCCUGUCGCACCACAGCUUGUGCGACAGCGCCCCUGUCGCACCAAUUUUUUAGUGCGAGAGGCUUGCCCGUCGCACCAAAAAUUAGAUUUUUUUUUUUGUAACGAGUUAAUUUUUUUUUCUGUAAAUGUAAUGUAAUAAUUUUAUAAAUAUUACAGAUACAUGGUGAAAUCAGAAUCACCGGAUAUUGAAGUAGGCAAGAUGUAUUUUUGUUAUGCUGAUCAUUUUCCUGGCCGAAUUUCGAGCAUGUGUAUGUUAUAUUCGGUCAUUAAAGCCAUCGAGGAAAAAUUAACAAACCGGCAGUUGCGUAUGUUCAAAAAGGAUAUAUUUGGGCAUUUCUUGGAGUGUCGAAGUUUUCCAUUUAGUGGGGUAAUUUUGCACAAUCUUCUACUGCGGCAAGUGGCCCAUGAAGAAGAUAGCCGUGAGGAUUAGUUAUGGUUUCAAAUUGGUAAGCAUUUGAUUCGCUUGUCAAUUGUCGAAUGGUGCUUGGUUACUGGACUUUCAUUUGGUGUUGAUACCAAUAAAAAAAAUGAUGAAAUGGAGCAGAGGCUACGGAACACGUAUUUUGGUGGUGUGCAUCGUAAGAUUAAUGUGAAGCAAUUCGAUGCAGUAUUUAAGGAGUUGAAAUUCGAGGAAAUGGACGAUAUGGACGCAUUAAAGAUUGCGCUGUUUUAUUUUGCGGACAGAGUACUAAAUGCAAGAAAAAAUCACUGUCAAAUUAAUUUCGAUUGGCUUGACUAAGUUGAUGAUAUACAGUACUUCCGAAAGCGUCCAUGGGGUCUAUUGUCGUGGGAAAUGAUUUACGAGAGUCUUGACAAUGCACUGUUCGAGAAAGACGAGAAAUUUAAGAAGACUCGGUUGAAAAAUCUAGAUCAUAAUAUUGAAAAAUACAAUCUUUACGGCUUUAUGUCUGGGGUUCAGGUGCUAUUUUUUUUUGUUUAUUAAUAAGUUUUAUAGUAUUAAAUAUUUGAUAGUUGUUUUAUUUGAUUUUUCACUUUGGUUAUUGUAGGCUUGGAUUUACGAAGCAAUCAGAGGGUUGCCAUCAACAUGGGUCGUCAAAACGAAGAAUAAGAUUCCCCGCAUUCUGCAAUGGAAGCCCAUGGCGUCGUCGAGAAUCAACUUUGCGGAGGUUUAUUCGUUCUUCAACGACGAAUCUCGUCUUGUAAGUAAUAUAUAUUACUUAUUUUUUUAACUUUACUAAAUUUAAGUUAUGUAUACUUACUUAAAAUUUUAAAUUGAAUUUAUGGAAGGGGGACGUUUUACAAACUCUUAAGCCAAAUUCAAAGGAGAGUAGUAGAAAUUAUUAGCUCUCUGUGAAGGAUUACUUGCCAAGCAUUCCAGACUGGGUUCAUAAGGUCGGUAUACUCUAAGCACUAAAAAUUUGUUAAUCGAAAUUUUUGACUUUUCAUUUACUAAUUUUAAAUGAUACUUUAUACAGCAUCAACCCUCAAUCAACGCGAUGCCGUCGGUUACAAGGCAAUCAGACGAGCAUGACGAUCAUGACGACAUACUAAACCCAAUACCAGAGCAGCGUCAUGACACUUUUGAAGAUGAGGUGGGGCAUGACACUUUUGAGAAUGAGGUGGCUGUUGAUGACCACCAGCAGCAAACAAACAACUCUGAUGACGCACGAGAUUCUGAGAUUAGAAAUAAUAUACGAUAUUUUUUUUUUAAAUUAUUAAUUUUUUAUUGUUAUUCUAAAGUUUUAUUUUUUUCUUUUGUCAUAGUCGAGGACAAAGCAGUUUAAUGAUUACGUACGACGACGGCUGGAUAAGAUUGAUCGUAACGUGUAUGAAAUAAAGUCAGAAUUAAAAGAUUUUAAAGAAACCGUUGUUGGCUUCAUCGAAACAUUUUCUAAACGUCCAAAUAAGGAUUCUCCCACUGCACGCUCGUAUGCGGUAAGCUAAUUUAAAUUUAAUAAUAAUGUUCGUUUAACUUUUAAUUUGAUAGUUAUUUAAUAUGUUCUUUUUGGCGAAUGUACAGGCCCCGGAUGACGUUGGAGUGUAUACUGACGUGGGCAAUGAAAAUUUGUCUACGCCCACGUCAUUGUAUAGUUUCUACGGGGAUGUAAGUGGGGAGAGCGUGCAGGUGUUCACAAAGGUGCCUCCGGGCGUUAGUAAGUUCGGCCGCGCGUACAUACCGUCGUAUGUUUAUAACAGUCCUUACAUGAUUCCUCCGGUUAGGCGAGGACAGAACGUCCGGCCUUUACCUCGACCCCAAAUCAUGGAGCAUGCGAUUGACAUGAGUACGAGUGUGGAUGUAAAUCCACUGAGAGAAUUGGAGGACUCUAGUCUGUUUGCUGAGUUUGAUCGAUGGUUCACUGGUGAUAGCAGAGUCCGCCGGAGAGUCCAGCACCCGCGGUCAUUCUUUCAAAUAAUUUUGGGGACAGCUUCGAUGGGAUGGCUAGGCGAUGAGGUAUUUAUAAUUUUCUUGUGGUGUAUACUGUUGUGGAUUUGUGUAUAAUUUGUUUUUAAAAAACUCGUAAUAUUUCUGUUUCUCUACAGCAUAUUCACGAGUAUCUCCGCUUGAUUAGCGAGAAACAACGGCAGUAUCCAAAUGCCUUACUCCAACGUGUCACACAUACUGACACAUUUUUUUGGGUAACGUGCCGACAAAACUUAUAAAUUUUAUUAAAUUAUAAAAAUUUAAGUUUUAUUAAUUUAUGCAUUUCUUGGUUAUCUAUGUAUUAGGUGUUCUUGAAUCAGUUAUGGAAUAACGAGAAUUGUGCAGUCGAUUCAAUGGUAUUCGACGACCGCUUGAAUAGUUAUCUUUGUGGCCGACAGCACACAAUGUCUAAAUCAAUGACGGAUGUCGAUAUGGUAUGUACUUUAUUACAUUUCACAUGCUAUAUAAUGAAAAUAUUCAAGUUGUUGAUUUUUCUUUGUUGUAUUUUAAUUUCAUACAUGACGAAUAUGUUUUUCAAUUGUUAUAUGCAGUUACUCAUCCCUGUUAACUUGGACGGCGCGCAUUGGGUACUAGCACGAGUUGACUUUCGGAAAAACAAAGUCUGGAUUUAUGACUCAUUACUCACAAAUCGCGACGACAAAAGGUACAAGUUGAAAUUCAAGCCACUUGAAGUUAUAUUCCCUCGAUGGUUGGAAUAUGUUGGCUUCUACAAUAUCCGACCGGAGCUGCAGAGUGAAGACCCGUGGAAAGUUAUCGCAGUUAAGAGCGCGCCACAACAAGAGCCCGGAACUGGCGAUUGCGGUGUUUUUGUAUUGAUGGUUACGAUGUAUUUAAUGUUCGGGCUUAGAUUGGAGUUUAACGCUAGUCAUGUCGAGUACUUUAAAAAGAAGAUUGCGGUUGAUAUAUUUAAUGACGAUAUUAAAUUGUAAACCUAUGUAGUAAUUUAAAUGUUGGAAUUUGAAUUUUUUUUUACUUCGCGCACUUAAGUUUAUAUAAUUUUAAUGCCUCACAUUUUAAACUUUAAAUAAAGUUUUAUGAAAUAUAAGUGUACAAUACACAAAAAAUAGUAACAGUUUUAACCAACGAACACAAAAACAAUAAUAGUUUUAACAAACUCAUAACACACAAAAUACAACUAACUUCGAGUCGACGCAAUGGGAUUCUUACAUGACACCGACCGCAUCUUACAGUCCGCCGGUCAACGUCCUCGCCAGCCGAGGGUAUUCUGAGCUCUUUACGACGGCCAGGUGGUGGUGCCUCAACUGGUGGGUAUACUUGCAUCUCCUAAAUUUCAUCUGGAAUUUUCCAAUCAGCCACAUCACCAACUGGCUCUACUGGUUGUGCAUAAGCCAUCGCCAACGAUUCUGUAGUGUAAAAGUCCGAGCAAAGGUUAAUAAAAUCCACCCGGUGUGUUAGACACGCCGCAAUUGCAUGAGCACACACAAGCUGAUCAAGCUGGAACACUCUGCAGGAGCAAGUUCUCUUUUGCAAGUCAACCAACCCUUCCUUAAGCCCACCGCCUAUAACUUGAAAGCGAUGCGGAGACACCGGCCGAACUAUCAUUCUUUCAGCUAUAAUUCUCCUCUCAGUGACUAUUUCAUCCGCCCAUGUUGUUAGCCGAGUAGUCAUUGAUUCAGCCACAAUUUUCCUAUCAUAAAACCAUUGCUGCAAUGUUUUCCUAAAGUGAUCAACAAGAUGAGUCACAGGAAAUUUUCGAGGUUCCCUCAUGAAAGCAUUAACACUCUCCGCGAUGUUGGUGGAAAGAAUGCUGUACCUCCUACCUUCAAACUGAGACCUUGCCCAAUUACACGUACCGACAUUAUUUUCUAGGUAAUCAGCCGCACCCGAGUGGAUCAUCCACAACCCCUCAAGUUGUCUCUUAAAUUCCUCGUGGCCAUAUGCUUUUGCUGCAUUAAUAAAGGCAGGCUCAAAUUCAUCCCAAAGAGCUUUGGACAUUCUAAAUUGUGACUUAAUGUAACCUUUGACGUGGUAAAAACAAACGCCAUGAGUUGCAUUGUGAAAUACUUUAAGAACGGCUCUCCUUAUGGCAGUGCAUCGAUCAGAGAUAAUUACCAACUCAGGUCUAUCACCAAUCACUCCGUGUAACUUCAUCAUAAACCAUUCCCAAGCAUCAUUGUUUUCUGAAUCCAUGAUCCCAAUGGCUAACGGAUACAAUUGAUUUUUACCAUCAAGACAUGUUGCCAUGAACAUGCUUCCACAAUAUAGUCCCUUCAGAUGAGUAUCAUCUACAGCAAUGACAGGCCAAAUGUACUGCAUAAACCCCUUGAUGGAAGAUCCGAGUGCUACAAAAUAGUAUAAGAAAUUACCAUCUCUAUCUUGCUCGAGGUGAGUGACUGUACCCUCAUUCGCUGUAGUUAGUACGUGAGAGUAUUUAGGAAGCAUGUUGUAUGACUCUGUAGGGUUGCCGCGAACUAUUUCAAGACCAACUUCUCUCGCCCUAUAUGCCUGUUGGUAUGUUAACUGAACAUCGUAUUCCUGUUGCAUAUCUGCUCUUAUGUCAUUGGGAGUAUAAAUCCUCUUAUCUUGAAUAUAUUUUUCUGCAAUAAUAUGACCGACAACCCGGCUCCUUACUUGAUGACGUUCAUCAACCAAUACCUCAUUAUGACAAGUGUGUACAUUAUCAAUUCUCUUCACCACCCAAGGCACAUUUUGCUCGUUCGAACUGCUAGUUGCUCGAAUACGUCAUUUACAUGAUUCUGAACAAUAGUGAGCCUCGAAACGUGUCGUAGUAGACCGUGCAAUCUUGAAAUCAAACUUAUCUCUAAAGGCCACCUUGCGUAGUUGUAAUAUAAGCUCAUUCUUCUCAGCAAAUAGCUUACCCACGCUUAUAUCAUCUGAGUCACAACUGCUAACAAAGCUUGAAGCAACCAUGUUCGAAGGUAAAGUUGGAGCAAGACUUGUAAGGGGGUCAAUUCUCCUUCUCGAUCGAACCAUAGAAGGAAUAGGUCUAUUGCCUCUGUUAUUCACAGGAGUAUUAUCUUCACACUCAUCCUCAUGCUUGAACGACGGAACAUUCGAAGGACCGGCUCCUCCAUCAUCACCAUCAUUAUUGAAACGAGUGCCCCGCCUCGUAUUAUUAGAAGGUUAUGCACAAACAUUAUCCCCCUCUGUCUCAUAAUUAAAAUCAUCAUUGUCCCGAAAAUCAUUGUUGUGAUACGGAGAAUAUCGUUGCUCCAACGACGUUGUUAUUGGAAAUACCGUUGCUCCAACAUCCUGUAACGUAACGUCAUUAUCAUCAAUGUUGUCAUAAUUGUCGUGGAUUGAAGAGUAAUAUUGCUACAGCGAUAUUGUCCUCAGCAACACCUCUUCAUCAUUAUCGGGGCCAGACAUAUUUGCUCUAAACGAAGUUUCUGUAUCGACAUGUGGCUCAAUACCUUCGCUCGGAACUCGAGGUGAUGUGGUCACGAAUAUAGGAAUGCAUCCAACAUUAGCUACGUCAGAUGCCAUAUGCAACACAACCCUCACCAUUUCAUCAUCACAUAUAUCCAUGGGCAUUGCACAUAUACGAUAUAAUGUGUUACUAGACCUCAAAGUUGUCUUCAUUGUGAUAUUAUAAUCAUUAGGGUUUAUUUGUAACACCUCGUAUACUCUUGCCAAUAACUGAUCAAACAGAUAAUUUUUUCCAACCAAAAAAGCUCGAUUUUUACCAUUCACGUACUCCAUACGGUCAUUCUCUAAUGUCUCCCACCAACCAUCGUAACAUAAUUCAAGUACAACUGAAUCCAUUAAGCCUGAAAUUAUAAAAAAAAAAUUAUUGCAGUCAUAUUAAAAUAAUACAGUUUUAAUGAAUCUCCAGGGUGGGUGCGACAGGCAACCUGUCGCCCGAAUCUUGGUGCGAUAGGAUGCCUGUCGCUCCAAGGUUUGGUGCGACAGGGUGCCUGUCGCUCCAAGGUUUGGUGCGACAGGGUGCCUGUCGCACCGAGCAAGGUGUGGUGCGACAGGCGCCUGUCGCUCCAAGCAAGGUGCAACAGGCACCCUGUCGCACCGAGUUUUACUGCGACAUUAGCCCGUCGGCAGAUUCAGAUUGACCCGACUCAGUUAAGUAAGUUCAGAAAAUAAUUCAUACCGGUCGAUUUGUGUUGGAUCUGAAUAGAGUAUGAUCGAAUAUCACUUUUAUCGUUGUCUUUUGCGGUCGCUGUUGGCUGAUGAUUCAAGAGUGACAAGCUGCUUUUGGUUUGGCGACAUGGGAGAAACAAUGGUGGUUUUGUUCUGUAAAGAAGGGUAAUUUAGGAAGAAAGGCUUGUAUUUGGCUAAUGUUGAUAGAAAAAAGUUAACAGGAUUAUUUGCGAAAAUAAUAAAAUUUUAAUGGUUAUUUUCGUAAAUUUCCCAAGAAAGAUAUAAUACAAGAACCAUUUUCUGCAAUUUGAAGAACAAUGAAUCAUAUUGAGAUCAAGUCAAUUCAAUUUAUGGCUCCUCUCUUUCUAAGGCCUGAACUCCAAUUUAUUGAACAAGAUUAAGAGUGAAAGAUCUUUACAUUUUCCAGGUGCAAGCUUAAGCUCACCUAAAUUCAUGGUAUAUAUUAUAAUUAUCUUUAAAAAAUUCAAAAGGACUUUCAAGCCAUGUUUAGUAUGGAGGUGUAAAAGUUACAAUUACUGUAAAAAAAAUUAUAAUUAUGAAAUAAAAGUUAAUAAUAUGUCGUAAAUAUAAGUUUUAAAUAAUUAUUUUGACAAAAGUAGUAAAAAUAUAAUAGAUUUUUUUAUUAUAUAAGUAUAAAAUCAAAUCAACUAAGCUUUCAAAUUAUAAUAGUUAGUGUUUAUCAAACAUUUUAGCACUAUAACUUUUUAGUUACAAUUAUUCAACUUCAAUCUCAAAUGGAAUUGGGAUCUUAGAGCAUGUUUCAUUCAUAAAUCAUAACUAUCCUGUUGUAGCCACUUAAAAGGAAAUAACAAGAAAAUCAUGUUAAAUAAUAUCACUGUUGAUAUUUGAGGUUAAAGAAAUCCAAACUCUAGAUUUGCAUCCUCCUGGGGGAAAGACAAAAGUGUUAAUCUGAACAUUCAACUUAAUAUAAUAUUAUUUCUUUUUGCAUUUGGUCACAUCUGUUAGCCUAAAGGGUUAUACAUAAUGUAAUUUUGAUGAUAACAAACAUAUGUAUUAAGUGAUUUAAUAGAUAUUGUAUUUCACAUUUUCACUAGUUUUUUAAGGGUAAUAUUUAUGCAAGUGAAUCAAGUGAAAUCAAGCUCAAGACACUCAACGAACAACCGUGAAGUCAAGAAUAAAGUUUAGAGCUCAAACGGACAAAUUAGUGCGAUAAAUUAUUGUAAAGCCGGUAUGAUUUAAUUGAUGCAUGAUUUAGCAUUUGAGAAGCUUAAGAGAUUAAUUUAAUUAAAUACUUUUCAUAAACUAAAAGGUUUUGUUUUUAUAAAGUAAAGUAUUUUGUGGAUUUGAGUAAUGUGGACUUAAAAUGCUAAGUUUUGAAAUCUUUGAUUUUAAUAAGUAUUAUUAUUAAAUUUCAGAGUUGGACGUUUUUAUAAACAUUUGAAAUGUUUUGGGCCAUACUAUAAUUUAUGAAUAUUUUGGAUUAAAGUGAAAGAAUUUGAGAACUUUGAAAAAUAUGGGUAUUAUGUUGAAAAAUAUCUUUUUGCGAAAUAAUAAUAUCUUUGGGGCUAUAUCAUAGUUUCAAAAAGUUUGGGAAAGACAACUAUUCUUAGGAAGUUCUGAAAAUGGACCUAUUUGCAAAGUUUUAUGACGUUUUGGGUCGUAGUAUAAUUAUAAAAAGUUUUGGGCCAAAAUUCAAAAAUAACGGUAAUAUCACUGUUCCUGAGCGGCUGGCCGGAUAAAUCAAGCGGCUAACCGUUUGGGCGCUAGAAUUUACCUAUAACGGCUACUUUGAGGGCUUUAACUAUAAAAACUCAACCCAAACUUCAUUUUAUGAACUAAUGCAAGUAAAUAUAAGAUCAUAUAACAUAUAUUGAGCUUCCAAAACGCAAAUCAUCAUAGAUUGAAUCAUUGUGGAGCUAUUAUUUGCAUAUCCACUCUUAAAGAGAGUUUUUGUUGUAAUUUUCAUUUAUUAUCAAAUUGUGAAUGUACAAGUGUGAGAAACACUUGGGGUGAAGAGAUUGGGGAUAUAAUCUCUUGUUGUAAAGGUCCAUUGACACAUUGGAAGUUAAUUGUAAAUAUUUGAAGCCUUGAGAGACUUGGAUAGUGAAAUCCUCAAGCCGGGUGAGCUUGGAGGCGUGGACGUAGGCGGGGAUAGCCGAACCACGUAAAAAUCCUUGUGUUUUUUUUUUAUCUUCCCUUACUCUUUUAAUAUUGUGCUUGAUUGAAUUUAUUAUUUUUUAUUUGAUUAAGGCAAUAGAUUAAAUUGUUGUGCGAAUUGUAUUGCAUAAAUUUUAAAAUCCUAAUUCACCCACCCUUUUGGGUUGCAUAACUUGCAUUUCAACAUCAACAUGAGAUGUUCCUUAAGUCCCACCAGUAGCAGCUUGGAAUAGUGUAUGGUUAGGAACCAUGUUGAGAAACUAAGUGGCUUUCCAUUUUUUUUUUAAUAUCCAGGAGCCAAAUACUCACAUUGAUUUAAAAUCAACUUCUAACUAGUAAAAAAAAGGAAAGAAAGAAAGAAAAGGUCACAACUAUAGGCAACUUCUUAGUGCUCACCAUGUUUUAAUUAUAUUGAAUAAUGAGAUUGACUUGGAAUCCUUUAUGGAAUGCCCAUGAGUAUUAAAAGGAACUAAGGAAAAACGCUUAUGUAGCACAUGUUAAAUACUUUUAAAAUUUCAUAGUUGAGUUUUCGACCAAGCAAAUAAUAAAUUUUCUGCUUAUGUACAUUGUUGGAUCUAUUGAGUCUUUUUCAAGUUGAUUCUAAUGAAUCUUGAUGAAUUAAGAACUAAGAAAUUCAAUUGAAUAAAGAAACCAAAACUAAAAUAAGAAUUCAGAACAAGAACAGAGGUACGAAUCACCAAGUUUUAAGGGAAAAAUUCAACCACUUUAUUGAUCAACAACUAAUCAAAUAUAGAUGGAUUUAUAGAAGACUUUGCAUAGAUCACAACAAAACAGAUUAUAUGCAAAUUGAUGAACAAAAGAAGAAGAAAGAGAUUGUACAUUAGGCAUUGCUCAUCGGCUUCUAUAUGUACUGAUGUUUCUGGAAAUUUUACAAUAGAUUAUAACUAAUUCGUGCCACAACUGAAGUCAAUCUGCACAAUGAUUUUAAACUUCUUUAUAUUUUCCAUCUGAGUCCACAAAUUCAGAUACAUAUAUCUCCACAUUCUCUACCUUGCAAUUGAUUCAGUUGAUCUUUUCAAUAAAGAAGCACCCAAAAAAAUCUUUAAUCAACUACAAUUCACUCCUAAAUUUAGUUACGUUUGCGCAAAAUGCCCAUUAGAUUCACAUAGAAUUCAAACUUUGCAGUGGGAAGCACUUUUAUAAGUGCAUCAGCUGGGUUCACACUUGUGUGGAUCUUAGACACAAUUAUUGUUCCCUUUCCAACCCCAUCUCUGAUAAACUGGAGUUUCACAUGUUCUUUCAUGAUACAUAUGAUUCUUUACCAGCUGUAUAGCACUUUGAUUAUCACAGUUAAUUUGAACUGUUUUUUAAUUUAACCACAAUUCAUUAAGCAGAUCUUUCAGUCAUAAGGGAACCACAGACGUAUACCCUGAAGUUGACUUCCUUCUGUCAAGAUCUCCAGCUUAUCAUGCACAUGUUCAGCAUAAACAUAUACCCUGAAGUUAACUUCCUUCUGUCAAAAUCUCCAGCAAAGUCAGAGUCUACAAAUACUACAACCUUAUUUGUAUCACAUUUAGUUUUGUCAUACAGCAAACCACAAUUAGAAGAGCCCUUGAGGUAUCUCAUUAUCCAUUUGACAACACUCUAAUGAGUCUUACUUAAACAAUUAAGGAAUCUGCUAACAACACUCACUGCAUAGGUUGUAUCAGGCCUAGUGCAUACCAUUGCAUACAUUAGAUUCCCCACAACCUAUGCAUAUGGGAAUUCAUUUAACUGAAACUCAAUCUCAGAUGACUGAGCUGCUAAUAAUUUGAACUAUGGACUAAGAAGAGUUAGAACAAGUUUGCAAUCUUGCAUAUCAAACAUUUCUAAAACUUUCUUGAUAUAUUUCUUUUAACUCGAGAACAAAGUGCCAACAGCUCUAUCCCUUAAAAUAUCCAUCCCAAUGAUCUCUUUUAUAUUACCAAGAUCUUUCAUUUCAAAUUCAGACUUCAACAAAUUCUUCAACCUCUUUAUCUCAGACUUGUGUUUACUUGCAAUUAGCAUAUCAUCCACAUAAAGAAGCAAAUAAGCAACUCCACUUUGAUUUGAGCCACCAAAAUAAAUACAGUUGUCAUAUUUGCUUAUGUGAUAGCCUUUUAAGAUCAUACACUUAUCAAAUCUUCUAUUCCAUUGCCUCGAGGAUUACCUAAAUCUAUACAAGGACUUACGCAGCAGACACACAUGAUCUUCCUUUAACUUGUACUUAAAACCUUGAGGUUGAACCAUCAAUAUCUAUUCUUUAAGAUUAGCAUGAAAUAAUGUUAUUUUUACAUCUAUUUGCUCAAGUUCCAAAUCAAGUAAGGCCACCAUAGUUAAUAAGAUUCUUAUGGAACUGUGUUUAACAACAAGAGAACAAAUUUCAUUAAAAUCUACACCUUCUCUUUGUGCAAACCCUCUAGCCACAAGCCUUGUUUUGAAUUUUAAAGGCUCAACCCCUGUAAUUCACUCAUUCUUCUUGAAUAUCCACUUACAACUAACUAACCUUUUAUCACCUGGAUUUGGUACAAGUGUCCAAGUAUGACUUCUUUGCAGGGACUCCAUUUCCUCUUGCAUUACCUCAAGCCACUUAUCACAAUUCAGACUUUCAAUAACUUUAAAGAAGUUUCCAAGUUCUUCAAUUGCCACAUCAUCAGCACACAACAAUGCAUAAGCGAUUAAAUCGGCAUAUUUAUCCCUCACUGGGGCUUUGGUUUGCCUUCUACCUUUGUCUCUAGUUAAUUGAUAAGUCUACAAGUCAACUUGUUGCAAAUCUAAUGCUUUAUUGUCCUCAACUUUGGCCAUAGUCUCAUCCUCACUACUAAAUAGCUUUUUUUCACUAUCUCUGUCUUCAAAUAGCUCCACUUUAAUCUUGGCAAUAUCAGAGAGUUUGUUAGUAAUCAGAUCAGCACACACAUAAGUAUCAUUUUCUGCAUUUUCUUUUAAUAAUGCAGAUUCAUGAAACACAACAUCUUUGCUGAUUAUACAUUUCCUUUACUCUCUACACCAUAUUAUGUACCUUUAAUCCUAUCAUAAUAUCUAAUAAAGACACCCUUCAAUGCUCUUGCAUCUAGCCUGACUUGAUUGAUAUAAAGAUAGGCAAGGUACUCAAAAAUUCUGAGAUUUUUAUAAUUUGCAGGCUUUCCUGACCAUAUUUUCUCUAGUGUUUUGAAGCCAAUAGCAAAUGAUGGGCUUCUGUUAAUUAAGUAACAUGUUGUAUUAACAGCCCCUGCUCAAAAGUUUCUAGGAAGCUUAGAAUUCACUAACAUAUAUCUUUUUUUAUCUACCAAUGUCUUGUUCAUCAUCUCAGCCAAACCAUUCUACUAAGGGGUGAACCUUACUAUUUUAUGCCUUCUUAUUCCAUGUUUUUGACAGUAUUCCUCAAACUCUUUACUACAAAACUCUAAGCCAUUAUCAUUUCUUAAGCAUUUAAGUUUAAGCCCAGACUGAUUCUCCACCAAAGCUUUCUACACCUUAAAUUUUUUCAAGGCUUGAUAUUUGGUCUUGAGUAUGUAGAUCCACACCUUCCUUGAGUAAUCAUCAAUCAAUGACAUAAAAUACAUUCCACCACUCAGAAAUGAGACUUGUACAGGCCCCUAAAGGUCAGCAUGUACAUAGUCCAAUGCUAGCUUUGACAUAUGUUGCGCCUUAUUAAACUUGGAUCUGUGAGCUUUGCCAUAAAGACAGUUUUCACAAAAGUCAAGCUGCUGAAUUUUAUCCCCACCAAGCAACCCUUAUUUACUGAGCUCUUGUAUUCCUUUGACACUCAUAUGACCAAGUCUAAGAUGCCAUAACUUGGUUCUAUCUUUUUUAGAAACAAUAGACAUUCCUUCCAUAACAGACAUUGAUAAACCUUACAACACGUACAUACUAUUCUCUUUAACCCCUUUUAUCACUGUCUCAAUCCCUUUAAUUAUCUUUAAGCCACCAUUUUCAGACUUAAAGAAGUAUCUUAAGCUGUCUAACAUGCCUUACCUCAUGUAGAGCUCUUAUAGUCUCAUCAAACAUCUUGAUUUUAAUAGAACCAAUACCAAUAAUUUUAUACACAUUGUUAUUUCCCAUCAAGACUCUACCACCAUCCACAGUCUCAUAUUUGUAAAAAAAAUUUCUAUCAAGACACAAGUGAAAAGAACAACUAGAGUCUAUAACCCACUGACCUUUUGUGUUGCCAUUUGAGGCUACAAGCAAAUCAGCACUGAGGUAUCCAUUAGAGGCAUCAUCGGAGGCUAAAACUGUAUCCCCUGAUCUUUCUUGACACUCUUUCGUUUUCUUUUUAAGGUAAUUCUUGAUAUGAUGUCCUUCUUUCCUGCAGUAAAAACAUUUCCUCUUCUUUUUCUUCUUAUCUGUAUUUUCUUGAUUUUUUCCAUGUCCUUUUCCCUAGUUUUUAUUCUUCUGCUCUUUAUUCUUUUCUAUUCUGGCAACCAGCACAUCACCAUUACUCAUUUCAUACCCAUUAUUCUUUUGAAUCUCUUUUGAACUCAAAGAUGCCAUAACAUCUUUAAGAGUCAAUGUUGUUCUGCCAAAUAACAUUGUAUUCACAAAGCCUUCAUAAGACUUUGGCAGAGAACUCAGCAAGAAAAUAACUUUAUCUUCAUCACUUAUUUUUACAUUUUCAAUCCCUUCAAGAUCAAGAAUGAUCUUGUUGAAGGUGUCAAUAUGAUCUUGCAUUAAAACUCCUUCUUUCAUUAAGAAGGUGUAUAGUCAUUUCAUCAAGAAAAGUCAGUGAGUCAGGGACUUCUUCAUACACAAAGCUUCCACGUUGUUCAAAAUUCCUAAGGUUGCAUUUUCCUCAAAAAUCUUUAUCAAGAUUGAGUCACUAAGACUCAAAAUUAGAGUGUUGUGAGCUAUGUGUUUCCUCUUUUCAUUGGACAUAGAACUUGAAGCAGCCUUUGGAUUUUCUUUUUCUAGAGCAAAUUCGAGGCCCUGAUGCACAAUGAGAGCCCUAAUUUUCAGUUUUCAAAGUGAAAAAUCACCACCAGUGGUGAAUUUCUCAAUUUCAGGCUUUGGAAGAGACAUGACUGAGAUUCAUCAAGCUUUAAUACCACUUGUUGAGUCCACUGAGUCAUUUUCAAAUUGAUUAUAAUGAAUCUUGAUGAAUUAAGCAUUAAAAAAUUCAAUUGAAUCAAGAAACCAGAACCAGAAUAAGAAUUGAGAACAAGAACAGAGGCACGAACCACCAAGUUUUGAAAGAAAAAUUCACUCACUAUAUUUAUCAACAACUAAUCAAAUACAGAUCACAACGAAACAGAUUUUAGACAAAUUAAUAAACAAAAGAAGAAGAAAGAGAUUGUACAUCGGCAUUGCUCAGCUUCUGUAUGUACUGAUGUUUCUACAAAUGUUAUAAUAGAUUAUAUACGCCACAUCAGCAGAAAUAUCUAUUAGGCCCCUUCAACUGAAGUCAAUCCGCAAACCGACUAUGAACUUCUUCAUAUUUUCCAUUUGAGUCCACAAACUCAGGUACAUAUAUCUCUAACUACGUGAAUGGCGGUAAUGCAUAACUUAAGUGAAAAGGUAAAGAUUUUAUACAUCGAGGGUACUAAAAACCAAUAUUCUUAUUGUACAGGCAUUAUGGAAACACAAAAUUUUACGAAACCCUACUUGUCCAAAAUCAUAAUCGUGUUCUGUUUCUAAAGGCUUGUGAGUUUGCUAAUGCUCAUUGUGUCAAGUGGCUCAACAGGUAAGCCUGGGUUUUUGCUGAUAAUUCUUGUGCCACAAAACGCAUACUAGGUCGUGUGUCUGGAGUGGUACUUGUGCAUGCUAAGGCUACGUUGAUCAUGAACGCCACUGCUUUUGAUAAUUGGCCUUUCGGAGGUGGAAGACGCUGGUCUAGCACAUCCUUGAGAAACAAUUCCAGAUUGUUUGACAAUGAUGAUUCUGAUAGGGAAGUUAUAAGUUCUCCUGGGUGCCUUCCCAUCAUAACCUCCAGUGCCACCACUCCAAAACUAUAAACAUCACAUUUAUCUGUGACCCGCAUUGUGACCGCCAGCUCUGCACAUUAAAGAAAUUUAGAAAUCCAAUCAAAUUAACAAAAUGUUUCAUCAAUAGGGGCACUCACUAGUUUCUAAAGAUUUGAAGCAACAAAAUCUCUCUAGAUAACAGCAUGAGACAACACCAUCACAUGAAGAAAACCUGUUAUCCAGGAGAUUGUUCUUGGACAUGUAUGCACAAAAUCAUACCCUUUUGUACAGGCGAUGUGUAUUUUAAGUAUAUCAAAUGAAUUAAGAUAAUGUUAACUUUGUCUAAUGAGAGCUAUUUAUUUUAUAUAAAGUGCUUUCAGAGACUAUAACGAAAAUGCAGAAAGGAAAUUGUUAGCUUACCAGGAGCCAUGUAGCCAUAGGACCCAGCAACUGACGUCCAGUUGGAGGAAUCUGGAUUCAACAGUCUUGCAGUGCCAAAAUCUGAGAGCCGUGGUACAAACUCUGACUCGAGCAAGAUGUUAUUCAAAGAUAUGUCCCGGUGCACAAUAGGUGGAGAGCAGUCGUGGUGCAAAUAAGCAACACCAUGAGCCACUCCUUGCACAAUCUUCAACCUUGCAGCCCAGUCCAACGCUUCUUCCCCUUCCAACCCGUACAAAACAUUUGCCAGACUACCUCUCUCAACAUAUUCAUAAACCAAGUACAUACACCCUCCCCUGGAACAAAAUCCAUUUAGCUUGAUAAUAUUUCUGUGCCUAAUAUCUGUCAACAUGCGUAUUUCAUUCUCAAAACUGUGGCGAUUCAUCAAGGGAAUAUCACUGGAGUCUGACAUAUGAAGCUUUUUUACUGCAACAACUUGACUUGUUGGUAGUACCGCCUUGUAAACGCUUCCAAAUCCUCCUCUACCAAUGCAGUACUUCUCGCUAAAAUCCUCUGUGGCCUUCGCAAUAUCCCCAAAAGUGAACUUUCCUUCUCUCGCCCUUAUCAAUGACUCAGAAGCAUUACUCUUUUUACUAUUUUUUGUCUCCUCACCAAGGAGUUUGAUUUUGCUACGAUAUAUGAAAACUACAGCAACAAUUGUUGCAAGAAGUAAUAGGCCACAUACAGGGACAAUGACACCAAUAAGAACCUUCCUUUUAUUGUUUGUGGAUUUACCAGAAGAUUGUGUAGGACUGCAAGGAUCUAACCCUGCUGCGUCUCCACACAAACCUGAGUUCCCGACAAAAGCUUCUGCAGAUGCGUUCCGAAAUACGCCGCCGCUUGGAAUUGGACCUGUUAACUCGUUAUCUGAGAAGUCCACUAAACGUAGACUAAUCAUGUUGGAGAAUGAUGCUGGAAUUCUCCCUGACAGCUGGUUACGCGACAAAUUGAGAAUCUCCAGUGAUCUAAGCUUUCCCAGAUCUUGAGGGAUUGUUCCAGAGAGUGAAUUGCUGCUGAGAUCCAACAUGUACUGCAAUACAAUCAAAUUACCUAGCUUCGAUGGUAUUUCCCCUGAUAAAUCAUUGUGGCUUAGGUUUAAGCUCAAUAAUUUAUCAAAGCUACCAAGCUCUUGAGGGACAUCUCCUGUCAAUUUGUUAUUUGACAAAUCCAGAUAUGCAAGCUCAGUUAAAUUGCUUAUACUCUUAGGGAUCUCUCCUGUUAAGUAGUUGUUGCUCAAAUUGAGACUGAACAACUUGACUAAUUUUCCUAGAUCAGUAGGAAUUUUCCCUGUGAGUUCAUUUGAGUCUAGGCUUAGAACGCCCAAGCGGGUCAAAUUCCCGAGCUCAGCAGGGAUGCCUCCAGAAAUCUUAUUUCUAUCUAACUGCAGAUUACUGAGAUUUCUGCAUUCUCCCCAGUCAGGUGAAAUUUCACCAAUAAAAUGAUUGCCGCUUAGUCUGAUGAAAUCAAGUCUUGGAUGAACUCCAAAUGCCUUUGUAAUAUUGCCAGUGAAUUGGUUCCCAUCAAAACGAACUCUGUUCAGAUUCGAACAAUUCCGCAUGCAAGCUGGUAAUGACCCUGUAAAAUUGUUGCCAUUCACCGCCAGUUCUUCAAGAGCGAAACCACUGCACAAUUCAUGUGGCAGUUCUCCAGAGAAGCUGUUGUUAGAAAAGCUAACAUUUAUCAAGGAAGGACUGAACUUUCCAAAAUCGCCAGGAAUGCUGCCAGAGAAGUUAUUAGUGAACACAGAGAAUUUGUUUAGGUUAACAAGGCGAGAAAUGUUCUCUGGCAACUCUCCGUGCAGUUGGUUUGUAUUGACAUCAAAAGCUACCAAUGAAGCCAUACUCCCAAUCUCCGGUGGAAUUGUACCACUGAGAUUAUUGAAGAAAAGCUGCAAGCUCAGAAGGUUCGUCAGAUUCCAUAAUGUUGGGGGAAUUGUACCCGAAAGCUGGUUUCCAGAAAGGUCUAAUUUUUCAAGACUAGUCAACUUUCCUAUCUCUGAAGGAAUAGGACCAGAGAAGUUGUUCCUAUACAGGAAAAGGUACUGGAGCUUUGUCAAUAGGCCAAUUUCUGGUGGAAUGUUCCCCAUGAAGGAAUUGUUUUGAAUUUGCAAUGACUCCAAUUCAGUCCAAUUACCAAUGAGAUUAGCCGAGAUCUCACCGGAGAGAAAAUUGUCAGACAAGCCCAAUUCAUUUAAUCUGGAUAGAUUUGACAGUGACAAAGGCAACCCCCCACUGAGUUGAUUCAUAGCUAAAGCCAAGAAUGAAAGGUUUGUACAGAGGCCAAGCUCAGGAGGUAUGGUGGAAUUUAAGGCGUUCAUUCGAAGAUCAAGAUGUUGAAGGUUUUUGAGUUGGCCUAAGGAAGACGGAAUCUGCCCUGUGAACGAAUUGUUAAACAAUUCAACCAGCUGAAUGUUAGACAUCAAACCUAUAUCCCCAGGAAUUGGACCGCUAAACUUGUUGGUUGCUAGACGAAGGACUAUGAGAUUGGAGAGCUUGGAAACAUUUGGUGACAAUUUUCCUUGGAAUUGAUUAUCGGUGAGGUUGAGGUAUUCAAGCUUGCCCAGAUUGGUGAACAGCCUCUCUGGUAUUAGGCCACUCAACUUGUUCAGUGACAAGUCGAGAUAAGUCAAGUUCCGGCAAGUUAAUAUGAAUGAAGGAAAUUCCAAGGUCAAUUCAUUGUAGCAAAGGCCAAGGUGUGUCAAUGAAGGCAUGUUUGAAAAUUUGGACCAGUCAGGAGUUUCUAAGAAGUUCCCACCAAGGUCUAAGUAGCGUACCUUUCGAAGAUUGCUAAGUUGAAAAGGAAAGGCACCAUUGAGACUGUUGUUAUACACACUGAGAUACUGAAGCUCCGACAAGUCUCCCAUCUCGGAAGGUAUGCUACCUUCGAAAAGGUUGUUGUUCAAGUCUAGGAAAGUCAGGUUGGAGAGGGUGCCAAUGGCAGGCGGUAUUGGUCCAGAGAUGUUGUUGUGGCUGAGGUCUAAGCUUGUGAGAGUUGCAAAUUCGGUGAAGUUGAAUGCUGUGAGAGUUGCAUUGAUGUCUGCACCGGAGAGGUUUAUUUCAGAAACUGCGCCGGGGGAAUCGCAAGCAAUGGAAGUCCAGUUGCAGAGGUUGUCGAGGUUGUUGCGUGACCAUGAAGAAAGAGGGGACGGGGACGGCGAAAAUCCGAAGCUGGUCUUCCAUCUGAUGAGAGCUUCUGCUUGAGUUCUGGGGGAAGAUGAAAUCUGCAGUGGAAACAAAACGAGCAGAAGAACGUGAAACAGAACAAGAGAAAGCUUUCUGGUUGGCGUCAUUUUAGUUAUUUGAGUUUCUAUCAUGCUACGUUGAUCGGGGUUGUUGUUACUCGUCUUAUAUAAAGCCCACGGAGAGAGGGAGGGAGAUACUUGUCAAAUAUGAGCUCCAAAGUCCCAAAAAGAAACAAAAAAAAAAAUUAAUAAACCGUGUCUUGCUUUCUACGUUUUAAUUAUUUAACUUACUGGGGGUGGGCAAAACUGAACAUUUAGUUCGGUUCCUUUUUUUUUGUUUCAGUUUGAAAUUUUUAAAUAAAAAAUCUGAUUUUAUAAAUACCCAAUCGUUCAGUUCGGUUCAGUUUCGAAUCAAAAGUUAUAAAAUCCUAACCGAAUCGAAAUUAAGGUAUUUUCGUAAUUUCACUCUAACAUAUAUAUACACAAAUCACACGAUUCACACGUUUGCAGUUUGCACCUCUCUCUCUCUCUUUCACUUUCAGUAUAGCUGCACAACACAGGCUAGGGGUGUUCAAAAUUCAAUCUGAUCUGCUCAAUCCGUAUGAUCCGUAGAAAUCUAAUUCGUAAUCCGCAAUCGGUGGAUUUGAUAUGGAUCACUUUUGUAAAUCUACAAAAAUCUGCAAAUCUGCAAAAAAAAAAAUAAAAAAAUAUUUAUUUAAUAAAAAAUAAAACUUGUAUAUGAAAUUUUACUUGCUAAUAAAUAAAUAAGUUAAAAUAUAGUUAUAUUAACACCGUAUUAUGUCUUUUUUGAUAAUAAUAUAAAAUAAAAAUAAUUAAAUAAAAAAUAUGGCUUCCUAAGUAGUUAAUUUUCAUGCACCAUCUAAACAAAUGAGAUUUUUUCCUUUUUGGUGUGUUAUAUUUUGAAACUUUAAAUGUAUUUUCUAUCUUUAUUUAAACAAUUAAUUUAUUUAAAUCUUAUUUGACUAGUAGUAAAAUUAUUUUUAUAUUAAUCUUUUUUUUAUUUAUUUAGUUCGUGGAUAGGACAUGACUAAAAUUUUUUUGCCCGCAAAUCAAUCCGUAAAAUAGUAGAUUGGAUAUUGAUUAGGUCAAAUCCGUAUCUGAUCCGCAGACGUAUGGAUUGGAUUUGGAUUGAAUUUCACCAAUCAAUAGAUUGGAUUGGAUUAAAAAUUUAUAAUCUGCAAAAUCAUGGAUCGGAUAUGGAUUGAUAUCUAAUCCGUAAAAUCCGAUCCGUGAACACCCCUAAGCACAGCCACGACCCAGCCCUAAUUCGCAUUUGCCUUUGCCCAUUAUGCCUUCUCCUUGCAGUCAUUUUUUCCUCCGUCACCAACUAUCCAGUCAGGUAACUCACUAACUUGCUAUAUUUCCUUUUUUUUUUUAAAUGGGUCUUUUUUUGUUUUGAGAUAACUCUUUGAUCUGUUCUUAUUUUAUGCUUGCUUAAAUUAUUAGUAGUAUUUAGUUUGAAAUGGGUCUGCCUUUGCUUAGAUAUGAGUCUGAUAUUGUAUUUUUUUCAAUUUUUUCGCUUGGAUACUAUGCUGCUGUCAGUGCUUGGUGAGGGUUGAGAAACGAAUUGUUGAAGCUUAUGGAGGGAUAAUAUCGUUUGGACCCCUUUUCUUUAUAAUAUUUUAGUAUGGCCUAAUAUUUAGGAAAUGUUUACAUAUGAGAAUUCUAUUAUGGUUUAAUUUGUUUGCAAAAAUUUCAGAAUGGUCCUUGACCAAAGGUCAAUAAGUAAAAUAUCAUUUGAGUCCGUAAUAUUUUGCCAAUUUCUACUAUUGUACAAAAAUUUAUUUUAUUUUAAGGAAAUUUACAACCGUCCACCUGUUUGUUUUGUCUUUUUCAAAAAUGCACAAACACUUUUUUUUUUCAGCGCGCCACCUGAAGUUUACUUUUUGUUGCAUUCUUCCACUUCCGUCUAAUUUCCGUUAGCAAAUUUAACGGAAUGACCUUUUUGCCCCUCAAAAUUACAAUUUAAUCCAAAAUAAAUAGAAAUUAGAGAUAAAUUGGAUGGAUUUAAUUUUUUUCGAAGGUGGAUGCUAGAAAUUGGAGGAAAAUAAUGUUUGUUUCUUGCUAAAUUUAGAAAAUUUGUAUUUAUUUUUUUGGAGGAAAAUAGUGUUUGUUACUUGUUAGAUUUAGAAAAUUUGUAUUUAUUUUUUCUCUUUCAAAAAAAUAAAUACAAAUUUUCUAAAUUUAGCAAGCAACAAACACUAUUUUCCUCCAAUUUCUAGCAUCCACCUUUGAAAAAAAUUAAAUCCAUCCAAUUUUUCUCCAAUUUCCAUUUAUUUUGGGUUAAAUUGUAAUUUUGAGGGGUAAAAAGGUCAUUUCGUUAACAUUCCGUUAAAUCCACUAACGGAAAUUAGACGGAAGUGGAAGAAUGCAACAAAAAGCAAACUUCAGGUGGCGCGUUGAAAAAAAAAUGUUUGUGUAUUUUUGAAAAAGGCAAAACAAACAGGUGGACGAGUGUAAAUUUCCCUUUAUUUUAUUUACAUUUUGGGCUAAAACUUUUAUAUUAAAAACAGUAACCAUAAUUCUGAAAAUUAUUCAUUUUAAUCCAAAUUUCUUGCCUUUUUUCCACAUACAAAUUUGUAAAUUAUUUUAUUUUUGUUUAUUAUAAAUUGAUUAUAGUAGACCUUGCGUGCAGGAUGGAAGAAAAUAACAAUGUUAUAGAGGAGAUUAUGAAGGACGAUUUUGAGGAGGGUGUUGAGAAUAAAAAAAACCAAACCGAAAACGAAACCAUUAAGAUGAAUCGAAAAACCAAUUGCUUAAAUAAAACCCUUAAGAGAACUGAAAUCGAUCCGAAACUAAAAACUGAUUCCAAACCGAAACCGACCUAUCAGUUUCGAUUCGGAACGGUUUUUUUAAAUUUUAGAUCCGAACCGAUCCAAAACCUAAAAUUUAUUUCGAAACCAAACUGACGCCCACCUCUAGUCUUACAACCUUACAACUUCCUUUCCAUCAAGUUGGUUCAAAUAACUAUUUUUACCUUGUGACCAAUAAUAAGCCUUCACCAAACUUUUUUAACACUUCAGUUGACUUCCGACUUCAAACACGUGCGAAUAUGGCAUGUUGGCCUUCGUUUUUUUACUUCUGUAGAACGAUACAAAGACUUGGCAAUUGAACCUGGAAGCAAGAAUAACCUCAUUUUUUCCCCAAAAAAAAAAAAAAAAAACUGAAGUAAGAAAUUGGAAUUGGAAGCAAUUUUUCCAGUUACACAAAAGUCCUCAAAUUACUUGCCGAAUUAUGGUAGUUGGUAAGUUGACUUUGACUGUCCACAAAUUACUUUCCGAAUUAUGGUAGUUAGUAUUAUUAGUUUAAAAAAUGUUUGGAAUAAUUGUUCCGUAUAAAUUAUUAUCUUUAUGCCAGGAAUACGGAAAAUUCAAAUCGAAUUUCAGGUAUAGGGUAUACUUUAACUUCGAAGACAAACAGAGAGAGCUGACGAGUAAGUGAAAAGGCAAAAUGAGAUCAUGUUUGAUUUAGAUACGUUUUUAAAUACAUCUUUACUUUGUCAUAAUCAUUAAACUAAAUGGUUCAGUUUGAUUAACUGGAUUGGAUAUUAAAAAAAUAAUACACACACACACAAAAUGCAAUGGGAGCUAAUUAUGAAGCAGAAUUGAGCAACUUAAUAUUUUUAUAAUGAAACGCAUCAAGCACCCUUCUCAGUGGGAUUUUAUUUGUCCAACAAAUUCCGUUUAGAAAAUACAAAAUACAGUGAAUGCUAAAAUCCAUCCCAUUUACUACCCUACAAAAUUAGUGCGCCAGUCCUUAGCCGCAAUAAUAUUGUGCAUGAGUGAAUAGUGAUAAAUACGAAUUAAGACUAAUGUUGAUCUCCAUUUUAACCAACCAAUGAGACUACAAAUCAAAGUCCAACGUUGGGAAACUACGAAAUUUCUUUAUGAAUCAGACUUGCGUGGCCUCAAAAGAAGUAUGAUGAAUGAAUUGACAGAUACCAACUUGGGUUUUAAUCGCAUGUAUGAAGAUUGACAGUCAAAUAUAAGAAAACAAAUAGGAGGAAAUUUCAAAAUUUAAUUGGAGAAAUUUGUACCCUGGCAGCCUUCAUUGGGUUGCCCAUUGAAUUUGCACGACAGAUCCGUUUUUCCCAUAAACUCACAUCACAGAUGAAAGUUACCAAGAACAAGAACUCUGAGAAAGUAUCCGGAUGUCACAACACAAAGUCUAUAGUUCAUAAAUUCUUUCCCCAUAUCCUGUGAGAAUGCCUGGAAACUUACGUUCAAAAAAAAAAUCUAAAAAAAAAAUACCUUGAAAUUAUUAAAUAAUUAUGUUCUCGAUCUAAAUUAACUUUUCAGAAACAUUCUGACAAACAUUGACAAAGUGUGAUUCCAGAACAAGCCCUUCUAUGAUAACAGAAAUGCCGACUAAAUGACAACUCUUACAAGAAUGAAGAGAUGGUGAGUAUUUUUUUUUUUUUCUAACAUGCAUCCUAAAGGUUUCUCUUUAGCUUAUACAUUCUAACCAAGGACAGGCAUACAUGUCUGGGUUUGUACAAUACAAUGAAUAUCUCAGCAUACUUUACGCUUGUAAGAAUGACAAAUGAGACUAAUUUAAGAAACGAAAAUCACUGUUUUAUGUACUUUAUGAAUGUUAGUAAACUGAAACAAUCAGUACAUUUGUCCGUCAACCAACACAACGUAGAUGUCCCAGCCUAAGGGCCAUCGCAACAAGAAAAUUUGGCCAAAAGCUUAGCACAAACUGUGAAAGUCAUAGUCAACCAAUCUCAUUCUCUAGAAGCAAAGAUUACUUUCUUUGCAGCGGAGCCCCAACGAAAGGCUCCAUUGGUUUUAGAAUGAUGUAUAAAGCAAAUAAAAAUAAAGAACCCGUCAAACACACUGCACGAGUCGAUACGCACAGCGCCUAGUAUCCAUCGUUUACGGCUAGGACUACGGGGCGCCUAGUAUCCAUCGUUUACUGCUAGGACUACGGGGUAUCUAAUCCCAUUCGCUCCCCUAGCUUUACGUCUCUCAAUGUCCAUUCCACUCGAUUCAAGAGCAAGAGAAAGAACCAAUGCCCCAUUCGGGUAUAUCGAUUGAAAUACCCGUAAGGGAUAUUUUCCGUAGAAAUAGUAUUCUUACGAAUGAUUCGGAGUUCUUGCAUAGUAGAACCAUGUCUUAUAUCAGGAGGUCUGGGAGUGAUAUUAUUUACCAACCCAAUUUAUUCUGCCUUUGCCUAACUUCCUUCUUGUAUCAUUAAACCGUCACCCAUUAAAACAACACCAACAUUAUUUGAUUCCAAAUUCAGAGCAAUGCCUAUUGUACCCUCUUCAAAUUCUACUAAAUCACCUGCCAUUACUCAAGUCAAGCUAUGAACUCAGACUUAAACCAUUGCAUCCACAUUGUGCCCUUAGUCUGCUCAUGAAACUUUUGAUGCAAAGAAACAAAAAACAGAGACUGCAACCAUGAGGGCAUUAGUACACAGAACACUUCACAUUUGGCCAAAAGCUAAGCACAAAAUGUAAAAGUCAUAGUCAACCAAUCUCAUUCUCUAGAAGCAAAGAUUACUUUCUCCUCAGUGGAGGCCCAAUGAAAAGCUCCAUUGAUUUUAGAAUGACGUAUAAAGCAAAUAAAAAUAAAAGAAUACGUCAAACACAAAUACAAGUCAAGCUACAAACUCAGACUUAAACCAUUGCAUCCACAUUGUGCACUUAGUCUGUUUAUGAAACUUAUGAUGCAAAGAAACAAAAAACAGAAACUGCAACCAUGAGGGCAUUCAUACACAGAACGCUUCACUUUCUCAUUUUAUCCUAUGUUUUCGUUCAAAUUUCUGCGCAGAAAGAAGCAGAAGCUCUGCUAAACUGGAAAAGCAGCUUAGUUUCUUCAUCUCUUCCUUCAUGGACUGCCAUUAACAGCAGCGGUGGCCCAUGCAACUGGAAUGGAAUUCAGUGCAAUGAAGUUGGCAGCAUUUCUGAGAUAAACUUAGCAAAUUCAGGCCUGGACGGAACACUGGACAGGUUUGACUUCUCUGCUUUUCCUAAUCUCACUGCCCUCAAUCUCAAUAUGAACAAUUUAGUAGGAAGUAUUCCGGCUGGAAUUGGGAAUGCAACAAAGCUCAUCUUACUUGAUUUGAGUAGCAAUAAUCUCACAAAUCCAAUACCUCCAGAAAUUGGAUACCAUUCAGAACUCCGAGUCCUUCUUCUCUACAAUAAUUCACUCACAGGUCAAAUUCCACAUCAACUUAGCAACCUACAGAACGCGUGGCUGCUAAGAAUUGGUGCUAACUACCUGGAGGAUCCUGACCCAGUCAAGUUUAAGGGUAUGGCAUCUUUAACAGAUCUUUGGCUUGACUAUAAUCUUUUGGAGAAAUUUCCCUCGUUUAUAGCUGAAUGCUCGAAGCUGAUGUUUCUCGAUCUUUCUGAUAAUCUAAUUAUGGGUCAUAUUCCGAUAGAGCAACUGACUCAUCUGGAAAACCUCGAAUAUCUGAACCUAACAAAGAAUUCGUUUGAAGGAGAGAUUCCCCGGGAAAUUAAAACAUUUCCUAAGCUUCGACACCUGAAGCUCGGGCAAAACAAGCUUACCGGUACAAUACCUGAUGAAAUAGGGCUCCUAUCAAACCUUGAAAUACUUGAAUUCCAUGAGAAUUUGUUUCACGGGCUGAUACCAUCUUCAUUAGGAAACUUGAGGAGGCUUCAACAUUUGAACCUAAAAUCUGCAGGUCUAAAUUCCAGCAUAUCCCCAAGGAACUUGGAUUCUGCGCCAACCUCACUUUCCUCGAACUUUCUAUUAACAACCUUACAGGUUCCUUGCCUCUUUCCCUGGCCUCAUUAAGACAAAUCAGCGAGCUAGGGAUUUCCAAUAACCAACUAUCUGGUGAAAUUCAUCCAUAUCUCUUAUCUAACUGGUCAGAGAUCAUCUCUUUGCAGCUCCAGAUGAAUGAUCUAUCAGGAAAACUUCCACCUGAAAUUGGGUUACUCCCCAAACUAGAGUAUAUGUAUCUUUUUGAUAACAAAUUUUCAGGUCCUAUACCUCAACAAAUCGGAAAUUUGACAAAUCUGUUUGAUCUUCAACUGGCCAACAACUUUUUCAAUGGUUCCAUCCCUUCCACCAUUGGAAAUUUAUCCAGUCUUGUGAAGUUAAGUCUUUCUUCUAACCAACUUACUGGAACCCUUCCUCCUGAAAUAGGCAACGUGAAAAUGUUAGAAGAGUUGGACUUGAGCUCAAAUAAUUUGCGAGGAACUCUUCCCAUGUCAAUAACCAACUUACAAAGCCUCACCCUGUUAUAUGUUUCAUUCAACAACUUCUCAGGAAGCAUUCCAGCUGAUUUUGGACCCAGAUUCUUAAGAAAUGUGAGCUUCUCCUACAAUAAUUUUUCUGGAAAGCUGCCUCCAGGAAUUUGUAGAGGUGGGAACCUCAUCUAUUUAACUGCCAAUGUAAAUAAACUCGUGGGACCUAUUCCAGAAAGUCUUUGGAACUGCACAGGACUAACCAGAGUUAGGCUUGAGCAGAAUCGUCUGGAUGGAGAUAUCACGAAUGCAUUAGGCAUAUACCCAGAUCUGCAAUAUAUUGACUUGGGAGACAACCAGCUUUCUGGUGUGUUGACAUCAAACUGGGGAAAGUGCACCAAUCUCUCAAACUUCCGCAUAUCUGGUAAUAGAAUAAAGGGCGGUAUCCCAGCGGAGCUUGGAAAUUUGACAUAUUUGCAGAAUCUCGACAUUUUUGAUAACCAACUGACCGGGAAAAUUCCAGCACAGCUUUUCAGAUCUUCAUUUCUCAUCAGACUGAAUUUGAGGAGGAACCAACUCUCAGAUAAGAUACCUGCAGAAAUUGGAAAGCUUUCGCGGCUACAAUAUUUGGAUUUGUCAGAAAACAAUCUAGAUGGACCUAUACCAGAUAAACUUGGGGACUGUGAGGCACUUAUAUUUCUGAAGCUGAGUAAAAACAGAUUAAAUGGGACUAUGCCAGAGCAGCUUGGGAAUCUAAUAGCACUGCAGUCUGUCUUAGACCUCAGUCAAAAUACUAUC